RNAcentral lists this ribosomal RNA (273 nucleotides) under uncultured Acidothermus sp. RNAcentral's name for it is "partial 16S ribosomal RNA". It matches the Rfam family "Bacterial small subunit ribosomal RNA", at positions 524 to 796 of the family's 1533-position model. The record is from RNAcentral. Lineage: Bacteria; Bacillati; Actinomycetota; Actinomycetes; Acidothermales; Acidothermaceae.
UACGUAGGGCGCGAGCGUUGUCCGGAAUUAUUGGGCGUAAAGAGCUCGUAGGCGGCUUGUCGCGUCUGCUGUGAAACCCCGGGGCUUAACCCCGGGCGUGCAGUGGAUACGGGCAGGCUGGAGGCAGGCAGGGGAGAACGGAGUUCCCGGUGUAGCGGUGAAAUGCGCAGAUAUCGGGAGGAACACCGGUGGCGAAGGCGGUUCUCUGGGCCUGUUCUGACGCUGAGGAGCGAAAGCGUGGGGAGCGAACAGGAUUAGAAACCCCUGUAGUCC